GAGUUUGAUCAUGGCUCAGAUUGAACGCUGGCGGCAGGCCUAACACAUGCAAGUCGAACGGUAACAGGAAGAAGCUUGCUUCUUUGCUGACGAGUGGCGGACGGGUGAGUAAUGUCUGGGAAACUGCCUGAUGGAGGGGGAUAACUACUGGAAACGGUAGCUAAUACCGCAUAACGUCGCAAGACCAAAGAGGGGGACCUUCGGGCCUCUUGCCAUCGGAUGUGCCCAGAUGGGAUUAGCUAGUAGGUGGGGUAACGGCUCACCUAGGCGACGAUCCCUAGCUGGUCUGAGAGGAUGACCAGCCACACUGGAACUGAGACACGGUCCAGACUCCUACGGGAGGCAGCAGUGGGGAAUAUUGCACAAUGGGCGCAAGCCUGAUGCAGCCAUGCCGCGUGUAUGAAGAAGGCCUUCGGGUUGUAAAGUACUUUCAGCGGGGAGGAAGGGAGUAAAGUUAAUACCUUUGCUCAUUGACGUUACCCGCAGAAGAAGCACCGGCUAACUCCGUGCCAGCAGCCGCGGUAAUACGGAGGGUGCAAGCGUUAAUCGGAAUUACUGGGCGUAAAGCGCACGCAGGCGGUUUGUUAAGUCAGAUGUGAAAUCCCCGGGCUCAACCUGGGAACUGCAUCUGAUACUGGCAAGCUUGAGUCUCGUAGAGGGGGGUAGAAUUCCAGGUGUAGCGGUGAAAUGCGUAGAGAUCUGGAGGAAUACCGGUGGCGAAGGCGGCCCCCUGGACGAAGACUGACGCUCAGGUGCGAAAGCGUGGGGAGCAAACAGGAUUAGAUACCCUGGUAGUCCACGCCGUAAACGAUGUCGACUUGGAGGUUGUGCCCUUGAGGCGUGGCUUCCGGAGCUAACGCGUUAAGUCGACCGCCUGGGGAGUACGGCCGCAAGGUUAAAACUCAAAUGAAUUGACGGGGGCCCGCACAAGCGGUGGAGCAUGUGGUUUAAUUCGAUGCAACGCGAAGAACCUUACCUGGUCUUGACAUCCACGGAAGUUUUCAGAGAUGAGAAUGUGCCUUCGGGAACCGUGAGACAGGUGCUGCAUGGCUGUCGUCAGCUCGUGUUGUGAAAUGUUGGGUUAAGUCCCGCAACGAGCGCAACCCUUAUCCUUUGUUGCCAGCGGUCCGGCCGGGAACUCAAAGGAGACUGCCAGUGAUAAACUGGAGGAAGGUGGGGAUGACGUUAAGUCAUCAUGGCCCUUACGACCAGGGCUACACACGUGCUACAAUGGCGCAUACAAAGAGAAGCGACCUCGCGAGAGCAAGCGGACCUCAUAAAGUGCCUCGUAGUCCGGAUUGGAAUCUGCAACUCGACUCCAUGAAGUCGGAAUCGCUAGUAAAUCGUGGAUCAGAAUGCCACGGUGAAUACGUUCCCGGGCCUUGUACACACCGCCCGUCACACCAUGGGAGUGGGUUGCAAAAGAAGUAGGUAGCUUAACCUUCGGGAGGGCGCUUACCACUUUGUGAUUCAUGACUGGGGUGAAGUCGGAACAAGGUA
This 1500-nucleotide ribosomal RNA is filed under the name metagenome. RNAcentral describes it as "bacterial SSU rRNA". It matches the Rfam family "Bacterial small subunit ribosomal RNA". The record is from RNAcentral.